GCGGGAUGCGGGGCCCUGGCGAGGAGGCAGGACCGGCUCGGCCAGUGCUGGCGCCCCGGCUCCGGGGUCCGGAACGAAGGCUCCUCCUGCGAGAUCGGGGCCCCUGGCUCGCCCUCUGAUGCGGUGAGCAGGGACCCACGGUUGGCGUAGACCAUGCCAAAGGCCGGCAUUCCCCACGCAAGGUGUUGAGUUUCCGUUUUCUACCGGUUAGUCUUAUUUGCCCCCCCUGCACAAUCCUAGAGGGGUUUCGCUGCUGAGGAAUCACCCUGUGAAAGAUUAAAGGAUAUGGUGAAAAAUGCCAGGAAAUCCUGUGUGGAUAAGACAGGAAGCAAGACUGUUGGGGGCCGUGCAAAUAAUGACUGGUCUGUUUGUUCACACCCUGGGACUGCUCUGGACAUAUUUGUUAGUCUCACAAAUUCUAGCAUUUCAAAAAGUAUAUCUUCCUUUUGCAAUACUGUCGGGAUUCCCGUUUUGGGCAGCAGCUUUUUUUUUGCUGUCAGGAAUCUUUACAGUAUUGUUUGAGAGGAGGCGUUCAAGGUCUUUGAUGACCUGCUCUAUAGUACUGAACAUCUUGAGUGCCUGCAGUGCCGUGAUUGGUCUGCUUUUACUAUGCCUGGAAUUUUUAGCCUACGCUUUAGCUAAAAAAUCUAUUUGGCCACACAGAGCUGGUAAAAUCCUUUCAAACUACUUGUUCCUAUUCACCCUUCUGGAAUUGUGUGUGACGUCGACACUGAUCAACUGGUUGUACAAAGCAAAACAUAGCCGAUGAUGAAACUGUGGUGCAGGGCAGGAGAGGACCCUUUACCUGCACAUUGAAGAACCAUCAUGACGAGUCAAGGAGGAAGGCGUAGUGGCGAAUGAAGAACUGCCCUUUAUUCAAGAAGCUGGUGGGAAAAUACAUUUCAAUCAGAUUCACCUCGGCAUCUCCUUUCGCCCAUUAAUAAAAGCCUAAAUUG
Molecule: long non-coding RNA, 956 nt
Organism: Capra hircus (goat)
Lineage: Eukaryota; Metazoa; Chordata; Mammalia; Artiodactyla; Bovidae
Exons: 7
Source: RefSeq, a predicted model, not a curated record